This 346-nucleotide ribosomal RNA is filed under the name uncultured bacterium. RNAcentral describes it as "partial 16S ribosomal RNA". It matches the Rfam family "Bacterial small subunit ribosomal RNA", at positions 338 to 682 of the family's 1533-position model. The record is from RNAcentral.
CCUACGGGCGGCUGCAGUGAGGAAUAUUGGUCAAUGGCCGGAAGGCUGAACCAGCCAAGCCGCGUGAAGGACGAAGGUGCCAAGCAUUGUAAACUUCUUUUGUCAAGGGACAAAAUCAGGCGCGAGAGCCGGACCGAGGGUACUUGAAGAAAAAGCAUCGGCUAACUCCGUGCCAGCAGCCGCGGUAAUACGGAGGAUGCGAGCGUUAUCCGGAUUUAUUGGGGUUAAAGGGUGCGUAGGCGGACUGUUAAGUCAGCGGUAAAAGCCCGGGGCUCACCCCCGGCGAGCCGUUGAAACUGGCUGUCUUGAGCUGUCGAGAGGUAUGCGGAAUGCGCCGUGUAGCGGU